This 320-nucleotide ribosomal RNA is filed under the name uncultured Lachnospiraceae bacterium. RNAcentral describes it as "partial 16S ribosomal RNA". Lineage: Bacteria; Bacillati; Bacillota; Clostridia; Lachnospirales; Lachnospiraceae. The record is from RNAcentral.
GGAGUCUGGGCCGUGUCUCAGUCCCAAUGUGGCCGUUCACCCUCUCAGGCCGGCUACUGAUCGUCGCUUUGGUAGGCCGUUACCCUGCCAACUGGCUAAUCAGACGCGGGUCCAUCGUAUGCCACCGGAGUUUUUCACACAGGAUCAUGCGAUCUCGUGCGCUUAUGCGGUAUUAGCAGUCGUUUCCAACUGUUGUCCCCCAGCAUACGGCAGGUUACCCACGCGUUACUCACCCGUCCGCCACUAGAUAUACAACUUAGCAAGCUAAAAAGUAUAUCCCGUUCGACUUGCAUGUGUUAAGCACGCCGCCAGCGUUCAUC